RNAcentral lists this unclassified non-coding RNA (329 nucleotides) under soil metagenome. RNAcentral's name for it is "partial contains 5.8S ribosomal RNA, internal transcribed spacer 2, and large subunit ribosomal RNA". The stretch from base 1 to 120 matches the Rfam family "5.8S ribosomal RNA", at positions 35 to 154 of the family's 154-position model. The record is from RNAcentral.
GAUGAAGAACGUAGCGAAAUGCGAUAAGUAAUGUGAAUUGCAGAAUUCAGUGAAUCUUCGAAUCUUUGAACGCACAUUGCGCCCUCUGGUAUUCCGGGGGGCAUGCCUGUUCGAGCGUCAUUAUAACCACUCAAGCUCUCGCUUGGUAUUGGGGUUCGCGGUUUCGCGGCCCCUAAAAUCAGUGGCGGUGCCUGUCGGCUCUACGCGUAGUAAUACUUCUCGCGAUUGAGUUCGAUAGGUCUACUUGCCAGUAACCCCCAAUUUUUACAGGUUGACCUCGGAUCAGGUAGGGAUACCCGCUGAACUUAAGCAUAUCAAUAAGCGGAGGA